GGGGCGGCGAGGCGAGGCCUGCGGAGCGGAGGAAGACAAACAUAAAGAUGAAGUGCUUAAUUCAAGGUCACACAAUGUCGGGGAUGGACCUCCAGAUUUCCUUACUGACCUGCAUUAUCUUGUGGAUACCUGAGUGAAUUCCACACCACCCAUUUUAUAGAUGAAACCACUGAGACAUGGAGCAACUGACUGAGUAGUCACUGCCCCACCCCUGCCUGGAGCCUCACACAUGACUCGUCUCCUCUCAGUGACCACAGGUUGGUUGAGGGGUUUAACAAGGCUAAGAAGGUGAGACGUGGUCUUGUAACACAGUGGUUAAGAAUGUGACUUUGGAGCCAGCCUGCUAGGGGCUGAAUUCUGACUCAGCCAUUUACUAACUGUGUGACCUUAGGUGGAGUCUCACUCUGUAGCCCAAGCUGGAGUGGUGUGAUCUCGACUCACUGCAACCUCCGCCUCCUGGGCUCAAGUGAUUCUCGUGCCUCAGCCUCCUGAGUAGCUGGGACUACAGGUCACAGAAUUUUCCACACUCCUUGACGGAGGUGCUUAACCCUUAUCCAUCAGCAUUCUCAGACAGCACCUCCGGUUAGGGACAGUAUCUGACCGUCCGACAUCCCUGCAGCCCCCAUGUGUCACACAGACUCAGCCUCAGGUAGAUGGUUUCCGUA
This 665-nucleotide non-coding RNA is filed under the name Pan troglodytes (chimpanzee). The record is from RNAcentral. Lineage: Eukaryota; Metazoa; Chordata; Mammalia; Primates; Hominidae.